GCGCCUAUAGCUUAACUGGAUAAAGCAUCUGACUACGGAUCAGAAGACUGAGGGUUCGAAUCCUUCUGGGCGCGCCA
RNAcentral lists this transfer RNA (77 nucleotides) under Alphaproteobacteria bacterium. RNAcentral's name for it is "tRNA-Arg". It matches the Rfam family "tRNA". From Rfam's summary of the family: Transfer RNA (tRNA) molecules are approximately 80 nucleotides in length. Their secondary structure includes four short double-helical elements and three loops (D, anti-codon, and T loops). Further hydrogen bonds mediate the characteristic L-shaped molecular structure. tRNAs have two regions of fundamental functional importance: the anti-codon, which is responsible for specific mRNA codon recognition, and the 3' end, to which the tRNAs corresponding amino acid is attached (by aminoacyl-tRNA synthetases). tRNAs cope with the degeneracy of the genetic code in two manners: having more than one tRNA (with a specific anti-codon) for a particular amino acid; and 'wobble' base-pairing, i.e. permitting non-standard base-pairing at the 3rd anti-codon position. The record is from RNAcentral. Lineage: Bacteria; Pseudomonadati; Pseudomonadota; Alphaproteobacteria.